UAUAUAGGAGCUCUGUUUUCACUCUAUUUCACUCUAUUAAAUCUUGCAACUGUACUCUUAUGGUCCAUGUUUUGUUACCGCUCGAGCUGAGCAUGCGUUUGCCGUCCACAACUGCUGUUUGCCGCCAUCGCAGACCUGCCCUUGACCUGCAUCCCUCCAGAUCCGGCAGGGUAUCCGCUGUGCUCCUGAUCCAGCAAGGCACCCAUUGCCACUCUCGAUUGGGCUAAAGGCUUGCCAUUUUUCCUGCAUGGCUAAGUGCCUGGGUUUGUCCUAAUUGAGCUGAUGGUUCUCUUCCAUGACCCACAGCUUCGAAUAGAGCAACAACACUCACCACAUGGCCCAAAAUUCCAUCCUUUGGAAUCUGUGAGGCCAAGAACCCCGGGUCAGAGAACACGAGGCUUGCCACCAUCUUGGAAGUGGCCCACCACCAUUUUGGAAGCGGCCCGCCACCAUCUUGGGAGCUCUGGGAGCAAGGACCCCCCGGAGAUGAUCACCAGAAACAAGAAGAAAAGCUCCUUCCUUCUGUGAUCCUCCAGCACUGUCUAUUGACAAAGCCUAGCAACAUGUUCACUGUAAAGAAGAAAUUCUUAAGGGGUUCAGCUCCAUUAUCCUAAAAUGGCUGCCUUUUGCAGGAUGGCAUCAUUACACCCUGUCCCUCCCUGAAAUGUCAGGACACAUCUGCUGGGAUUCAUUUAUCUACAUUCCUUUUCUCUCUGAAGGACACCAUGGGGAAGGAGAAAAAGAACAGCAAAGAGAACAAGAAUCACAUUGAGUAGCUUAGAAAGGUGGAAAAUGAAGAGGAGGUGACCAAUUCUAGAAGAUCACAGAACGCUUACAAAUGAAAAAUAAUGGGGUAUGUUUCUCUUGAGCAGUCAAUAAGUGAAAUUAUCAAAGAUCUAAAAUUUCCCAAAUAAACUGACAACAUAUAAGGUCCUGGAGACUGUCAGUGCCAUAGAUCAAAAAACCAAUUUUUCAUCUUUGCUUUUAAUUAAAGUUGCAGGAUUCCAUGAGUGAACAGCAGUAAAAUAUUAAUACAUUAAAGAAUAAACCAAAGGAAAAUGUUUGGUGCAAUGUAAGUGGUCAAACAAUAGAAGACUGUGAAAUGAAUUAAAUAUUCAUACAGUGGAUACUAUGCAGUUAUUCACAAUGUAUUUUUGAGAGGGAAAAGGUUGAUAAUAUAUUGUAAGAUGAAAAAGGAUAUUACAAAAUAGUAUAUUCCAUAUGAUAUCCAUAUUGGGAAAAAAAUAUGUGCGUAAGUCGAAAGAUUGGGAGGAUAUACAGAAAAUAAUUAACCGAAGUUACCUCUGUUAGUGAGAAUUUAACGUCUUCACAAUUUUUUCUUUUCCAAAUGAAAAGGGGAUAAGGGGAAAUUACUAUUUU
Molecule: non-coding RNA, 1380 nt
Organism: Macaca mulatta (Rhesus monkey)
Lineage: Eukaryota; Metazoa; Chordata; Mammalia; Primates; Cercopithecidae
Source: RefSeq, a predicted model, not a curated record